AGACCAAUGUAAUCACGUGAUCCCUUAAAAGCAUAAGAGGAGGGUGAAGGGUUGUGACAGGGAAGUCAGAGAGAUUUCAAGAGUGAGCCUUGUUUGAGGUGCAGGCUCUAAGACAUAAAGGUCAUGUGCAGUGACUGGAGACAGGCUUCUAGGAGCUUAUUCAGAGCAUGGAAAAAGCUCUAGGAGCAAAGAGUGGUCUUGGGUGACAACUAGAAGGAACCAAGAACCUCAAUCCCACAACCACUAGGAACUGAAUUCAGCCGGCCUAAAAGAGCAUGGACGCAGAUCAUCCCCAGAGCCUCCGCAGGAGCAUUGGUGCUCAACCCUUUCUGGAAGCUUCUGGCUUGGUGAAAUUCAUACCAGGGUGAGAGCUUCAGACUGACUUUCAAAUCAAUUAGGAAGACUCUGCUUCCACUGAGGUCUGGAAAAUCGAAAUUAUUGAACGUUCCUCGGCACUGACACCUGGACCUGACUGGCAUAAAGUAGCACAACUUUGCAACCAAGCCCUCUGGAGCUGCCUGUUCGGGGACACUAGCAGCCACAGCUGGACUGCGGCGGAGGAGGCGUUUCCUUGAGUCUUGUGUUCUGCUUUGCGGCAGUGAUGGCUGGAUCUGUCUCCAGGCUCUCAGACAUCUUGUCACAGAUGAUAUCCACGAGACGCUCAAAUGUCUGCUUGACAUUAAUGUUAUCCUUGGCACUUGUUUCAAAAAAUUCAAAUCCUGGAAGAAACACACAGAAACACAGCUUGAUCAUUUCCUACGCGUGCUGAAAUUAAAUGGGACGUGGUCAUGGGA
This is a long non-coding RNA of Bubalus bubalis (water buffalo), 794 nucleotides long. RefSeq lists it as uncharacterized. The transcript has 3 exons. Lineage: Eukaryota; Metazoa; Chordata; Mammalia; Artiodactyla; Bovidae. The record is from RefSeq and is a predicted model, not a curated record.